CAGCCGCCACGGGAAUACGGAGGGUGCAAGCGUUAAUCGGAAUUACUGGGCGUAAAGCGCACGCAGGCGGUCUGACAAGUCAGAUGUGAAAUCCCCGGGCUUAACCUGGGAACUGCAUUUGAAACUGUCAGGCUGGAGUCUUGUAGAGGGGGGUGGAAUUCCAGGUGUAGCGGUGAAAUGCGUAGAGAUCUGGAGGAAUACCGGUGGCGAAGGCGGCCCCCUGGACAAAGACUGACGCUCAGGUGCGAAAGCGUGGGGAGCAAACAGGAUUAGAUACCCGAGUAGUCCCUGUCUCUUAUAC
This 301-nucleotide ribosomal RNA is filed under the name uncultured bacterium. Its description in RNAcentral is "partial 16S ribosomal RNA". It matches the Rfam family "Bacterial small subunit ribosomal RNA", at positions 509 to 807 of the family's 1533-position model. The record is from RNAcentral.